This 245-nucleotide ribosomal RNA is filed under the name uncultured bacterium. Its description in RNAcentral is "partial 16S ribosomal RNA". It matches the Rfam family "Bacterial small subunit ribosomal RNA", at positions 524 to 768 of the family's 1533-position model. The record is from RNAcentral.
UACGGAGGAUGCAAGCGUUAUCCGGAAUUAUUGGGCGUAAAGCGUCCGCAGGUGGUUGAACAAGUCUGCUGUCAAAGCGUGCGGCUUAACCGCAUAAGGGCAGUGGAAACUGUUGAACUAGAGUUCGGUAGGGGUCACGGGAAUUCCCAGUGUAGCGGUGAAAUGCGUAGAUAUUGGGAAGAACACCAGCGGCGAAAGCGCGUGACUGGGCCUGAACUGACACUGAGGGACGAAAGCUAGGGGAG